RNAcentral lists this ribosomal RNA (561 nucleotides) under Triticum aestivum (bread wheat). Its description in RNAcentral is "partial small subunit ribosomal RNA". Lineage: Eukaryota; Viridiplantae; Streptophyta; Magnoliopsida; Poales; Poaceae. The record is from RNAcentral.
AUGGGGCGGACGGGACGGCACAGGGAUGGAAACAUGAUGGAUGGUGUAGGGCUUGCGUCACGACGGCAGGCCAGGAGGCUGGCUGCAGUGCGCGGUGCAGGGCGGCAGGGCCCCGCGCAGCGUCAAAUCGCGCGGCGGCUGAGGAGGAGGCGGAGCCACCGCACGAGGGUCCGUGUGGGAGAGACAGUGGCCAGGCUCAAGCUGCGAGCGUGCCCAUCCCAGCCUCCUACCCUGCCGCUCCGUAUAAGAGCUCUUCAAAGAAACUCCACCGCACUCGCGAAGAGAGAGAGAGACGUCAUACAAAUGCUGACGGAGAUGAGAAGGCAGCGGAGCAGCAGCUGUGGAGGCGGAGGCGCGGCGCAGAGGGGAGAACAGUGGCGCACCUGUGGAGGCGGAGGCAGCAGCAGGCGUGCCUGGCUCCCCGGCCGCCUCGACGUCGUCCACCCGUCCCCCAGGAACUUCGUCUACUUUCCAUCCAGGCUGCAGGAGUUCCUCGCGCAGCCGCUGCCGGCCGCGAGGGACGCCGCCCCGUCCCUACCGUCCACUAGCAUGACUAGUUAA